Molecule: long non-coding RNA, 126 nt
Organism: Cucurbita moschata (crookneck pumpkin)
Lineage: Eukaryota; Viridiplantae; Streptophyta; Magnoliopsida; Cucurbitales; Cucurbitaceae
Exons: 3
Source: RefSeq, a predicted model, not a curated record
CCCUCUUUGGACUUUCGCUUUCGGGCUUCCCCUCAAGGUUUUGAAACGCAUCAACUAGAGAGAGGUUUCUACACCCUUACAAGGAAUGCUUCGUUCCCCUCACCAACUGAUAUGAGAUCUCACAAU